RNAcentral lists this ribosomal RNA (484 nucleotides) under uncultured bacterium. Its description in RNAcentral is "partial 16S ribosomal RNA". It matches the Rfam family "Bacterial small subunit ribosomal RNA", at positions 30 to 507 of the family's 1533-position model. The record is from RNAcentral.
AGUGAACGCUGGCGGCAUGCUUUACACAUGCAAGUCGAACGGCAGCGCGGGCUUCGGCCGGGCGGCGGGUGGCGAACGGGUGAGUAAGACAGCAGAACGUGCCCAGCAGCGGGGGAGAGCUGGGCGAAGGCCGGAUUAAUACGCCAUACGAGCUGAGGGUGAAAGGGGGGGAUCUUCGGACCUUGCGCUCUUGGAGCGGCCGAUGGCAGAUUAGCUAGUUGGUGGGGUAAAGGCCUACCAAGUCGACGAUCUGUAGCUGGUCUGAGAGGACGACCAGCCACACUGGGACUGAGACACGGCCCAGACUCCUACGGGAGGCAGCAGUGGGGAAUUUUGGACAAUGGGCGAAAGCCUGAUCCAGCAAUGCCGCGUGUGUGACGAAGGCCUUCGGGUUGUAAAGCACUUUUGGCGGGAACGAAAAGGACUGUGCCAAUACCACGGUUCGAUGACGGUACCCGCAGAAUAAGCACCGGCUAACUACGUG